CAGUUGGCAAACAAAACUGUCAGCGAGGUAAAGAGAAAACCUUUCCUGUGUUUUAAAAAAGAAUUAAACAAAACUUGUAAUGAGCCUUGGAAAAGAAACAAAAAUGAGAAGUGGUUUUCAUUGCAGGGGCAAUUUUGUAAACUCAUGUGCAGUACUUUGGACAGCUCUCAUGCUGUAAUUAAAAUGAACUGUCCAAAUAAAAUGGUAUGGUAUUACAACAUUUAGAAAUAUUUUGUAUGUAUUCUGAUGCUUCUGGUGUUUCAUAAUAAUUAAUAAUAUUUAUAUGAGGAUCUCUAUAAGUUCCUGAUAAAUUCUGUUGGUUCAUUUUCUAAGCAGAGGGACUGUAUAAUUUAAUAAUAAUUAGUCAUUAAUAAUCUAAUUUAAUAUGUACACAUCAGAGAUCACUACAAUACCCACUGGUAAACAGUUCCAAAUCUGAAGCCCGUGAGGACACUGUCCUACGUGGUUCAUAAAUGUCCUCAGUGAGAGACAUUAACAGACAAGAGGUUUGGCAAAGCGAGGCCACCUAAAUCUUAGCUUUUUUGCAAGAGGUUCUUUCAUAUUCGAAGUGACCGAAAAAGACCUUUAGGAAUAAGUACCAGAAUACAGAACCUCGUCUAUGGUCAUGAGCUUUGGUAGUGACUGAAAGAGCAAAAUUGCAGAAACAAAUGGCCGAAAUAAUGUAAACUUGUAAGCUACAGGCAAAUCGGACUGCAUCUGUUUUACUUUAUUUAUUUAACCUCUAUUUGACCAGAUGAGUCGAUUGAGAACUCAUUCUCAGUUACAACAACGGUCUGGCCAAGAGGCAGCAGCAGCAGACACAUUUACAUUCAGUGUGAAACAGGUUUAAGGCACAGCUUCCCUCUGUUCAUCCACCAGUUAAACCACAGCGACUUGCAAUCAUCAACCUUCCGUUUGUGAAACACACCCGUUACUUCAGUCACUAGAGGAAGUAAAAACAGUACAGAGACGAAGCACUAAAAUUCCAGUUUAUUUAUCUUUGUAUAGUGAUCAGACUUUUAUGAGUUAUUAUCAUGGUGGGAUUGCUGACUGAUGAAACAGAAUGUGUUAUUCUACCAGCGUGAAACAAUUACAAGUUGUGGAAACACAUAUUUUGAGUUGAUAAUGACCAAUGGCUGAACUCAGAAGCUGAAACUAUUCUAGAAAAAACUGUCAGUUUUCUGCAUGCUUGUCUGAACAUAAAGCUAAUGGUGGGAUGGCAUGGUCUGGCAACUUUGGUUGCAGGUUUUUGGUCAGCACAGUCAUUCAGUUUUCUCUCCCAUCAACAGUUCAGACAGUCAUGUUACUGUGUGUCAAGGAUCUGUAGAUCACAAUGGGUAGAGGAGGAUCCUUUAGUUUUAAUAUCAUAUUGGUGGUUUGCUCUGUAUGUUCAGAAUGCCCACUGAGAUCUUGGCUUCACACAACAUUUUUGGUUACUCAGAUCACCUCAACAGGUGCUCCAAGACCUGUCAAAACACAAGCUCGGAGGUGAUAAUGUCUUUGUUGAUGCUACUCCCACAUUCUAGCUACUUUUUCUUGCUGGGAACUGUUGUCUUUUUGCAGGAAACUCCAUUAAUAACAAAACCUCUUUUCUUUGGCUGUGAUUGUUGUGGUAUUUUUUUUACAUGUUUUACUGUUAUUUUUUAGCUUGUUAUAUUUUAUUUUGCUUUCUUUUCUUGUUUAUUUUUCUUGAAUGUAUAUCUGUGCCUUUGUGUUAAGCAGUUUGGUCAUUAUCAGACUUUUUAGGUGUUUUAUUAAUAACGUUGGCCAAGCUUGGUUUUCUAAAUUGACUUUUUACAAUAGAAGCACACGUUUUAUAAAAUGUGUGGUUACGUCCUGCAGCAGCUACUUCUACAUAUUUGUAAAUCCAAUUUCAAGUAAAUGGGAUUCUCAAAUAAAGAAGGAAUCCUUAUUGGGUUUAUUUCCCUAUGGGGAAAUGAUCUUGUGCCAACAAAGGCACACAUUUGUUUUAUCGGCAUAAAAACUCAACAGAAAUUGGACAACCAUGUUUCUAAAACAGGUUUCCUCAUCUGAUAAAAGGACAAAAGACUGCUUUCAAGAGAAUUGUUCAACUUCCUGGUAAGGCUUGCUUGCACGCACACACACACACACACACACACACACACACACACACACACGCACACACACACACACACACACACACACACACACACACGCACACACACACACACACGUACGCUUAUAUGCUUGUGUGGACCUCCAUUGACUUCUAUUCAUUUUAGUGACUCCACUAUGCCUCACCUGCAUUUCAAAGCAGGCCACAUUAGGUUCAACAUGUCAAACAGAAUCACACUUUUAUCUCCUAAUUUAUUAAGGCACUUACUUGGGUUAAUGUGGAUCGUACACAUUUUUAUAAACGAAAGCAUCAGUACAUUACCUAUGAGUUUAUAUGCACUCAUUGGCCACUUUAUUGGGUACAUCUGUUUAACUGCUCGUUAACGCAAAUUAAAAAUCAGCCAAUCACAUGGUGGCAACUCGAUGCAUUUAGACAUGUUGACAUGGUCAAGAUGAUCCACCGCAGUUCAAACCGAGCUUCAAAAUGGGAAAGAAAGCUGAUUUAAGUGACUUUGAAUGUGGCGUGGCUGUUGGUGCCAAGCGAGAUGGUCUGAGUAUUUCAGAAACUGCAGGUAUUCUGGGAUUACCUCACACAACCAUCUCUAGGGUAUACAAAGAAUGGUCCGAAAAAGGGAAAACAUCCAGUGAGCAGCAGUUCUGGGCAAAAAUGCCUUGUUGAUGCCAGAGGUCAGAGGAGAAUGCACAGACUGGUUGGAGCUGAAAGGCAACUCAAAUACUACUCGUUACAACCAAGGUAUGCAGAAGAGCAUUUCUGAAUGCACAUGUCGAACCUUGAGGCAGAAAGACUGCAGCAGCAGACCACACCGCGUGCCACUCCUGUCAGCUAAGAACAGAAACUAAGGCUACAAUUCACACAGGCUCACCAAGACUGGACAAUAGAAGAUUGAAAACAAUAGAAGAUUGAAAAAAUGUUGCCUGGUCUGAUGAUUCUUCAUUUCUUCUGCGUCAUUCUGCCUUGUAUCAACGAUACAGGCUGGUGGUGGAGGUGUAAUGGUGUGGGGGGCAUUUUCUCACUUUGGGCCUCUUAGUAAUAACUGAUCAUCUUUGUAACGCCACAGCCUAACUGAGUAUUGUUGCUAACCAUGUCCAUUCCUUUAUGACCACAAUGUUCCCAUCUUCUGUUAGCUACUUCCAGCAAGAUAAUGCACCAUGUCAUAAAGCUCUAAUCAUCUCAGACUGGUUUCUAGAACAUGACAAUAAGUUCACUGUACUCAAAUGGCCUCCACAGUCUCCAGAUCUCAAUCCAUCAGAGCACCUUUGGGAUGUGGUGGAACAGGAGAAUCACAUAAUGGACAUGCAGCUGACAAAUCUGCAGCACAUGCGUGAUGCUAUCAUGUCAAUAUGAACCAAAAUCUCUGAGAAUGUUUGCAGUGCCUUAUUGAAUAUAUGCCACUAAGGAUUAAGGCAGUUCUGAAGGCAAAAGGGGGUCCAACCCGGUACUAGCAAGGUGUACCCAAUAAAGUGGCCAGUGAAUAUGUGUGACAAUCUAAGCUGUGUUUAUGUGAAUCGUUUAUCAUGACCCGUUUUUAAAUCUUGUGCAUGUGACCAGGGAAAAGCUGUUGGCAGCAGCCCAGGUCCUACCACCGUCAGAGUCUGGGACCAUGCACACCCCUUCAACUGAUGGCCAAUAUAGGACAGCCCAAAGGAAUGGACCUGAGCCCAGGUAAGAAGGGGGGCCAGCUAGAGGUAGUCAGGGCACCAGCACCCGGCAAAAACAAACCCAUUUUGGGUCCUCAGACUGGAGCCCCCCACAGAUACAGGGCAAUCCAGAGGGAGAAUAAAAAUGACACCCUUGGAUACAAAAGAAUGGAACAAAACACAUCUCGUGGUCGUGGAAAAAAUGUUAGUCUGUUUGAGAAGGGUCAAAUCGUUGGCAUGCAUCAAGCAGGGAAAAUAUCUAAGGAGAUUGCAAAAAUUACAAAAAUUUGGUUAUGAACUGUCCAGAGCAUUAUUAAAAAUUGGUCCGAUGAGUCCAGAUAUACCAUCUUCCAGUGUAAUGGGCGCAUCACACAAGGGAUGGGUACCAAAUUUGAUACUUUUUAAGACACCAACCGAAUUCCAUUGUACCAACUGAGUACCAAUUCACGUCACGUGUGAAACAGUGCCUUGUUUUGGUACCCAUCCUUCAUAUCGAGAACUUGCGAGACAGUGAUUUGCCAAGAUAGAAAACAGUGCCGACGCAAGAGUGUAAUGUCGUCAGUCACUUUGGGCGAGCUGUAAACAGAGCAAGCAGCAUGGCAGAGAGGAAGCACUCUUAAGUUUGGGUUCACUUCAUUAAAUGGGGCGGGUAACUGGGUGAUGAUGAAACCAGCGACAACGAUCUGGCAUCAUCAUCUCAAUCUGCUCUGGUAGGUAUGUUUAAGAUAACGUUAGCUUGAUAUAUUAGCUUCCGUUCAGCUAAUGGUGCGUUCGCUUUCUCCUCGGAACUCAGAAAUUCUGACUAGAAGAAAGCAAGCAAACGCUCUCUAAAGUUUGGCUUCACUUCACUAAAUGCAAUGGGUGACUGGGUGAUGAUGAAACCAGGCACAACGAUCUAAAUGAAAUUCCAACUUCCAAGUAGGAAAAAUCAACAGUUUGAAAAAGAACUGCAAAAGGCUUGAAGAUACAGGGUGACUGCUGUUCCCACUGGGCCAGAGCUGCCCCGGUCAUAAAAUGUAUGUGGCAACCCUCUCCUUUACACACCGACAACUACCUACAUCUGG
Nothobranchius furzeri (turquoise killifish) is the source of this 4799-nucleotide non-coding RNA. The record is from RefSeq and is a predicted model, not a curated record. NCBI's taxonomy places the organism in Eukaryota, Metazoa, Chordata, Actinopteri, Cyprinodontiformes, Nothobranchiidae.